Unclassified non-coding RNA from Carassius auratus (goldfish), 299 nucleotides. It matches the Rfam family "Metazoan signal recognition particle RNA". Rfam says of the family: The signal recognition particle (SRP) is a universally conserved ribonucleoprotein. It is involved in the co-translational targeting of proteins to membranes. NCBI's taxonomy places the organism in Eukaryota, Metazoa, Chordata, Actinopteri, Cypriniformes, Cyprinidae. The record is from Ensembl.
GUCGGGUGCAGUGGCGCGCGCCUGUAAUCCAAGCUGCUGGGAGACUGAGGCUGGUGGAUCGCUUGAGUUCCGGGGUUCUGGGCUGCAGUGGACUAUGUUGAUCAGGUGUCCACACUAAGUUCGAUAUCGAUAUGGUGCUCCUGGGGGAGCUCGGGACCACCAGGUCGUCUAAGGAGGGGUGAACCGGCCCAGGUCGGAGACGGAGCAGGUCAAAGCCCCCGUGUCGAUCAGUAGUGGGAUCACACCUGUGAAUAGACACUGCAGUGCAGCCUGAGCGAUACAGAGAGACCCAGACUUUU